UACGGGAGGCAGCAGUGGGGAAUAUUGGGCAAUGGGCGCAAGCCUGACCCAGCAACGCCGCGUGAAGGAAGAAGGCUUUCGGGUUGUAAACUUCUUUUAAGAGGGAAGAGCAGAAGACGGUACCUCUAGAAUAAGCCACGGCUAACUACGUGCCAGCAGCCGCGGUAAUACGUAGGUGGCAAGCGUUGUCCGGAUUUACUGGGUGUAAAGGGCGUGCAGCCGGGUCUGCAAGUCAGAUGUGAAAUCCAUGGGCUCAACCCAUGAACUGCAUUUGAAACUGUAGAUCUUGAGUGUCGGAGGGGCAAUCGGAAUUCCUAGUGUAGCGGUGAAAUGCGUAGAUAUUAGGAGGAACACCAGUGGCGAAGGCGGAUU
Molecule: ribosomal RNA, 372 nt
Filed under: uncultured Bacteroidota bacterium
Lineage: Bacteria; Pseudomonadati; Bacteroidota
Description: bacterial SSU rRNA
Rfam family: Bacterial small subunit ribosomal RNA
Source: RNAcentral